AUUGAACGCUGGCGGCAUGCCUUACACAUGCAAGUCGAACGGCAGCACGGGAGCAAUCCUGGUGGCGAGUGGCGAACGGGUGAGUAAUAUAUCGGAACGUGCCCGGUCGUGGGGGAUAACGUAGCGAAAGCUACGCUAAUACCGCAUACGAUCUACGGAUGAAAGCGGGGGAUCGCAAGACCUCGCGCGAUUGGAGCGGCCGAUAUCAGAUUAGGUAGUUGGUGAGGUAAAGGGCUCACCAAGCCGACGAUCUGUAGCUGGUCUGAGAGGACGACCAGCCACACUGGGACUGAGACACGGCCCAGACUCCUACGGGAGGCAGCAGUGGGGAAUUUUGGACAAUGGGCGCAA
RNAcentral lists this ribosomal RNA (351 nucleotides) under uncultured bacterium. Its description in RNAcentral is "bacterial SSU rRNA". It matches the Rfam family "Bacterial small subunit ribosomal RNA", at positions 30 to 380 of the family's 1533-position model. The record is from RNAcentral.